RNAcentral lists this ribosomal RNA (528 nucleotides) under Triticum aestivum (bread wheat). Its description in RNAcentral is "partial small subunit ribosomal RNA". Lineage: Eukaryota; Viridiplantae; Streptophyta; Magnoliopsida; Poales; Poaceae. The record is from RNAcentral.
AUGUGGUAUUUUCGUAGGGGAGUUGUGCUAACCAAAGACAAUCUUGCACGGCGCAACUGGCCAGGAAGUAAGAAGUGUUGCUUUUGUGCUCAUGACGAGACAAUCAAACACCUCUUUUUCCAAUGCAAGUUUGCACGGUCUACAUGGUCAGUCAUCCAAAUAGCGUCAAAUUUGUAUCCGCCAACGAGUAUUGCCAAUAUAUUUGGUCAUUGGUUGGACGGAAUUUCAAAUAGUUUCAAAACGCUAAUAAGGGUGGGGGCGUAUGCCUUACUAUGGUCGCUUUGGCUAUGUAGAAAUAAUUUGAUUUUUAAUGACAAAAAUGCUUCUCCUCUGCAGGUUAUUUUCCGUUGUACGCACUCGCUUCGUACGUGGUCUACGCUACAACAGGCGGAGCACCAACCGCGUUCAAGGCGGUGUGUACGCGGUUGGAGCAGGCGGCUAUGGAGGUUUUUUCCCAACAUGGGUGGCAGCAUAACCUCCGGAUCCAUCCACCGCCGAGUUCGACAUAGGCAAAGUGUCGGUCCAUAG